This 366-nucleotide ribosomal RNA is filed under the name uncultured bacterium. RNAcentral describes it as "partial 16S ribosomal RNA". It matches the Rfam family "Bacterial small subunit ribosomal RNA", at positions 338 to 696 of the family's 1533-position model. The record is from RNAcentral.
CCUACGGGGGGCAGCAGUGGGGAAUAUUGCGCAAUGGGCGAAAGCCUGACGCAGCGAAGCCGCGUGAGGGAUGAAGGUCUUCGGAUCGUUAACCUCUGUCAGCAGGGAAGAACGGUCACUGUGCUAAUCAACAGUGAAUUGACGGUACCUGCAAAGGAAGCACCGUCUAACUCCGUGCCAGCAGCCGCGGUAAUACGGAGGGUGCGAGCGUUAAUCGGAAUUACUGGGCGUAAAGCGCUCGUAGGCGGUAUGUCAAGUCAAAGGUGAAAUGCCCGAGCUCAACGUGGGCACUGCCUUUGAAACUGGCAAGCUUGAGUGUGUGGGAGGCAAGUGGAAUUCCAGGUGUAGCAGUGAAAUGCGUAGAUA